RNAcentral lists this ribosomal RNA (460 nucleotides) under uncultured bacterium. RNAcentral's name for it is "partial 16S ribosomal RNA". It matches the Rfam family "Bacterial small subunit ribosomal RNA", at positions 338 to 795 of the family's 1533-position model. The record is from RNAcentral.
CCUACGGGAGGCAGCAGUGAGGAAUAUUGGUCAAUGGACGCAAGUCUGAACCAGCCAUGUCGCGUGCAGGAUGACGGCUCUAUGAGUUGUAAACUGCUUUUGUACGAGGGUAAACGCAGAUACGCGUAUCUUUCUUUAAGUAUCGUAUGAAUAAGGAUCGGCUAAAUCCGUGCCAGCCGCCGCGGUAAUACGGAGGGUUCAAGCUUUAUCCGGAUUUUUUGGGUUUAAAGGGUGCGUAGGCGGUCCGGUAAGUUAGAGGUGAAAUCCCGAGGCUCAACCUCGGAAUUGCCUCUGAUACUGUGCGGCUAGAGAGUACUUGCGGUAGGCGGAAUGUAUGGUGUAGCGGUGAAAUGCUUAGAGAUCAUACAGAACACCGAUUGCGAAGGCAGCGUACCAAGCUACUACUGACGUUGAGGCACGAAAGCGUGGGGAGCAAACAGGAUUAGAUACCCCAGUAGUC